AAAUUAAUAAUAUCUUAUCUAUCAAUCUAUCUAUCUAUCUAUCUAUAAUAAUAAAGUAGAGUUUAUUCUCUCUACAAGCUGCCACAUCAUCAGAAAGCAUGGGACAUUUUUGGACACCCGUCAUCAUAUAUUUUCUUGUGUUCUUUUGAUUAUGAAACAAUGAAACGAAGAGUUUUUAAACUGGACUACUAUUCUCUUAUCUCUAGCUAGGCCCGAACUCCAUUUUUAUUAGGUUUAAGGCUUACCUUCGUUACCAAAGCUGCUCCGUUUAAUCGCCGUGACUCUUGGGAUAUCGCAACCUCCGACUAGCGCCUCUGUAACGUAAUCAGUUUAAGGCUAGAAACUGCAUUUAUCCAAGCAUUGACGUUUUUACCACUAUUCCCACUCUUUCGCAUAAACUCGGCCUCAUCAUGCACCGCGGAACCGUUCGAAGCUCUGGCUAUAUAUGUGUUCCCCACCUCCCCCCGCCUUACACAGCCUCUCACUGCAAAGAAAUCCCAAAGGUCAAUCACUGUUAAGAAACAACUCCACCAAUGGCGAAUUGCUCCUCGUGGAUGAGAAGUGAAUGCUUAUCCAACGAACUGUAAACUCCAACCGCCUCCACACUUUACGAGACCAUCUCAGUGAGGGUUCUGUUUACAUCUCAAGUGGCUUUGACUUCACCCGGAGCAAUAACGAUUUUCGUCUGUCUGAUGCCCAUGUCUCCAUUCGCUUCAAUGAUGGUACGUCUUUCACUGAAAGAAACAAUUCAGUUAAGUCAAUAAUAACUGAAAUAUUCCGGAACCAUACGAGGUAUUGUCAUUGUCAAAUACUUGACUAGAGUUUAAUGUAAGUUGUGUCCAUUUCUAACCUAUUCUUAAAUUGAUUAUGCUUUUUUUAGGUGAAUUGAUUUAGAUUGUAAGAUCUCAGUGUAGAUCCUUGGAUUGGUUUCAUUGAUCCAGGUUCUAUCAGGUUUACUUUUUAGUGGAUUGUCUUCCUAUGAUGAGAUAUGGAACUUUCAGUCAAUGAUGUUAAAUUUACUCCUGAAGAGUUGGCUGAGCUGAUCGCUGCAAUGAAUGUAACAUUAGCGGCAAGAGUGGUAAACAUGUCAGUAUGUACAUAGUUUUCGAUUUGGAUCAAUGCUAUUUAUUCAAUCUUUGCAGAUAUUUUUUGAGCUCUUGGCCAAAGGGGAAACUGUCCAAGGGAUGAUAAAAGCAAAAGACUUGGGUUAGGCAAGUACAAAGAAGAAACAUAUUUUAGUUUUCUAUGAGCCAUUUUGAAUGUUCAUUGGCAACAUAUUUCAAUGCUUCAGGCUUACCUGCACUAGGAUGGACUUUCGGAUAAAAAAAGUUAUGAAUGUUACUGGGAAACACGUAGGAAUCAGAGUGGAGUACUCAACUGCUGCCUGGUUAAACACGUAGCUAGGAAUAAAGCGUACAUAGCCGAUUCAGCAAAUUAUCUAACCAAACCAUUUGUUUCUAUGUACUUCGGUGUAGCCUAUUUUCUUUGGCUAUCCGACUAUGAAAGACGGGAGAGAAGUAAUUAGUUCAUUGUCCAAGCUUGUAUCAAAGGUCCUGACCACGUUGAUCUUGAGACAUCAUCAUGUCCACUUUGGCUCACGUUUGAGCAAGCACUGAGUUCUAUGAAGAACCGAAGAGGUAUCAACGUUGAUGACCAAACAACUUUGUUUUGGUUUUCAUUUUCUUUCAACUUUGUUUUGGUUUUCAUUUUCUUUCCCUUCUGAUAUUAUUUCAUCACCGAUAUAGAAAGCUGCUUUAUUCUAUGAUACCAUCGUCUAUACGUACAUACACUAUGUCUAAGAAUAAAGGGUUUAGCUUGGAUUCGUGUGUUUGUGACUCAUUAUUUAUUCAAAGCGCAAACCUACUCAAGUGUUAGAUCCUAAUACAAAUUUGGCUGCCAUCUCUACUUCUUUCUCCCAUUCAUUGAAUCAUUGGUUAAAGAAGCUGUUCAUUGGUUAGUGAAGUUUAAAGGGAGUAUUUUCGGUAGCAGUUUUGCUGUCCUAAACUCGGGUUUAGGAUUUGAUAUCUUGCAUAUUUCUAUUGUUUUAUCCAUUCAUCCAUGUGCAUUUUGAUCAUAUAGAUUAGGAUUUAGCCAUGUUUAGGUUGCAUUUUGCAUACAUGAGUCCUUAUCAGGUAUUGGAGUACCACAUGGAGUACUUGGAGGCAUUUGGAGCUCAAAAAGGAGUGUUUAGAGUGGUCAUUGGGCGAGCAAGGGAUGGGAGCGACCAGUCCGGAGCGACACCACCAAGUCGCUCUGAUCACCAGUCUGGAGCGACCAGUCCGGAGCGACACCACCAAGUCGCUCUGAUCACCAGUCUGGAGCGACCUCACUAGAGCGACAGGGAAGAGUCGCUCGCGUAUUGAUCACCCGGAGACAACGAAUCCGGAGCGACCUCUCGCAGCGACACAGCGAGGUCGCUCCCGAAUCCGGAGAGUGAAAGAUGAACACGGAUGAAAGCCUUAAAGAUCUUUUCUGAAGCUCAAAAUUGGUGGAGACACUGGAAAUUGAGUUAGCUUUCCAAUGGAAGUGGUUUCAAGUCAUUUGGAGCUGUAUUGGAUAAGUUAUAAUCGAUUUACUACAGGUGUAUCAACCCUUGCCGGGGACCACUGGAAAGUUGAUGGGAUUAACCAACUUCCCACUUUCUUCCACCCACCUUACCUUUGCACGAUUUUUCUUACUUUUAUGUAUAAUAUCUGCUUUCUUUUUAUCAUAAGAGUGGGCAAGAAACAUCAUUAUCCAACUUUGUAAUAAUUUAACUUGUCAAAACUCUCUCUCUUUGAAAUAUCAUUGUUCUUAGUGUU
Molecule: long non-coding RNA, 2801 nt
Organism: Brassica napus (rape)
Lineage: Eukaryota; Viridiplantae; Streptophyta; Magnoliopsida; Brassicales; Brassicaceae
Exons: 5
Source: RefSeq, a predicted model, not a curated record